RNAcentral lists this small RNA (38 nucleotides) under Arabidopsis thaliana (thale cress). Its description in RNAcentral is "ATSL106890". Lineage: Eukaryota; Viridiplantae; Streptophyta; Magnoliopsida; Brassicales; Brassicaceae. The record is from RNAcentral.
AACAAUGUAGACAAUCUUUUUCAAUCAUCACUGGCUCU